Molecule: ribosomal RNA, 253 nt
Filed under: uncultured bacterium
Lineage: Bacteria
Description: partial 16S ribosomal RNA
Rfam family: Bacterial small subunit ribosomal RNA
Source: RNAcentral
UACAGAGGUCUCAAGCGUUGUUCGGAUUCAUUGGGCGUAAAGGGUGCGUAGGCGGCGCGGUAAGUCGGGUGUGAAAUUUCGAGGCUUAACUUCGAAACUGCAUUCGAUACUGCCGUGCUUGAGGACUGGAGAGGAGACUGGAAUUUACGGUGUAGCGGUGAAAUGCGUAGAUAUCGUAAGGAAGACCAGUGGCGAAGGCGGGUCUCUGGACAGUUCCUGACGCUGAGGCACGGAGGCCAGGGGAGCAAACGGG